Parus major (Great Tit) is the source of this 1395-nucleotide long non-coding RNA. RefSeq lists it as uncharacterized. NCBI's taxonomy places the organism in Eukaryota, Metazoa, Chordata, Aves, Passeriformes, Paridae. The transcript is spliced from 3 exons. The record is from RefSeq and is a predicted model, not a curated record.
UUCUGAUUAAGCUAAAUAAACUAUCUUCACAAUAUUUAUGUAUCUAUAAUGCAAACAACACUGGAGUGGGAGCCAGCAUCUUGUUGAAUGUUGCUGUAUUUUGCUAAUUCCUCAGGCUGUGAUGAUAAAAUCUGAAUUGACCAUGAUACUAUAUCAGAGUUUCUCUUGUAACUGGACUUAAAAUGCCUUCACUGGUUCUUUUGGUUGCCAAUGUCUCUUUGUAGCUCAAGGCUCAAGACCUUCCACGAGAUGACCUUCCACUUCAAGUAUCCUCUUCACUACUUAAAACCAGAUGCAUUAUACAGCUGAAUUUGAAAUGUGUCUUAAAGUCUGGAAUCAGGACAGAGACCUGCAUCCCCAGAUGAGGCUUGGUCAGUCCUGUAGUGAAGCUGUAUGAGAUGAAAGCUGCAGGAGCUAUGGCUGCAGGCCACCCAACACACACUCAGUCUUCUGAGUGUAUCAGCUGGAGUUCACGAGGACCAUGCUGGGUUUAGAGGAAUGACAAUGAAAUACCACUGGAAGAGAGGCAGGAUUUUUAUGGAGGAUGUGUGUGAAUAACAGCCACUCCCGAGGCAAACCUAGAAGAGACCUUGCAUAAGCACCUCAUGAAAGCUUUAUUCAGGUGAGAGGAUAAGAGCAGAUCAAGAUCAGGCCAGGGGAUGUAGUGCAAUAAGAGCUCUUUGAGCUUCUCUACUGUGUUUACCUAGGGCCUCCUCCCUCCUGAGGUACCAGGUGAGAACCUGCUUUUUCCCACAUGUGAGCCCUUCAGUUAUUUUGUUGAGGUUUCUUUGUGAAAGAAGUACACAGAAAGUCUCCAAGGCUUGCCACUUUGCUUUUUAUCAGGCAUGUGGCUGACUGCAUUGGUUUGAAGAAAAGUCUGUGCAAUGCUUCUGUACUGUCCCAUUACUUCACCCUUUUGCACAAUUCCUAUGUGUUUUCUCAUGCUCUGGCAAAGGUCCAGGCAAGGAAACUCAUUCAGAGUAGGGACAAGCCUGAACUUGAAUCUAAGGUCAAGAUAAAUAGUCCUGUGGAGCUAUCAGCUCGGUGCUAACUGGUGGUGAAGCAAAUGAAGUGCUAGGAAAGGAUGGAGACCAAACUGGACAGUUGAUGCAUAAACCUUUCAUCUGUGCUUAGAUUGCUGGACUACAUGCUGUUUUUCUCUUCUCUUCUUAUGAGAUGAGCAUCUAGAGAAGGUAAAACAGGUUGAUACAGGGUGUAGAACAAUUUCUGUAUUAGGAAUAAGUCAGAAGCCUGAGAGAAAUAUAAUAGAAAUUUAUAAAUACGAUGCUGUGGAGAAGGAUCAGUUGUGUAAUCUCUCUUUAGUACAAGUACUAGAGGCCACAUGUGAAAUUACUGGGAGCUAAAUGAAAAUAGAUGGAAGGAGCUAGCAAGAGA